This 1396-nucleotide ribosomal RNA is filed under the name uncultured bacterium. RNAcentral's name for it is "bacterial SSU rRNA". It matches the Rfam family "Bacterial small subunit ribosomal RNA". The record is from RNAcentral.
AAGUCGAACGAGAAGAUUCCUUCGGGAGCUCGAGUACAGUGGCGGACUGGUGAGUAACGCGUAGGUGAUCUGCCUUCAAGUGGGGGAUAGCCCUCGGAAACGGGGAUUAAUACCGCAUGUGUUCCUUCGGGAAUAAAGGUGGCCUCUGACAUAAGCUGUCGCUUGGAGAUGAGCCUGCGUCCUAUUAGCUUGUUGGUGUGGUAAUGGCGCACCAAGGCGAUGAUUGGUAGGCGUCCUUAACGGGUGGUCGCCCACACUGGGAUUGAGAUACUGCCCAGACUCCUACGGGAGGCAGCAGUCGAGAAUAGUCUACAAUGGACGAAAGUCUGAUAGUGCAACGCCGCGUGGGUGAAGAAGCAUUUCGGUGUGUAAAACCCUUUUCUUUGUGAGCAGUGCCAUUAUGGUUAAGAGCUAUAGUGGAGAGAUAUUAGCAGAGGAAUAAGCCACGGCUAACUCCGUGCCAGCAGCCGCGGUAAUACGGGGGUGGCAAGCGUUGUCCGGAAUCACUAGGCGUAAAGGGCAAGUAGGCGGAAUAGACAGUCAGGUGUUAAAGGCAUUGGCUCAACCAAUGUACGGCAUUUGAUACUUUUAUUCUAGAAUUUGACAUGGGAAGACAGAAUUCCUGGUGUAGCGGUGGAAUGCGCAGAUAUCAGAGGAAUACCGGAGGCGAAGCGGUCUUCUGGGUCGAAUUUGACGCUGAAUUGCGAAGUGUGGGUAUCAAACAGGAUUAGAUACCCUGGUAGUCCACACAGUAAACGAUGUGCACUAGAUGUUGGGGGAGAAAUUUUCUCAGUGUCGCAGCUAACGCGUUAAGUGCAUCGCCUGGGGAGUACGAUCGCAAGAUUAAAACUCAAAGGAAUUGACGGGGGCCCGCACAAGCGGUGGAGCAUGUGGUUUAAUUCGAUGCAACGCGAAGAACCUUACCUGGGCUUGACAUCCCUGGGAUCCUGUAGAGAUACGGGAGUGCCCCUUCGGGGGAGCCGGGAGACAGGUGCUGCAUGGUUGUCGUCAGCUCGUGUCGUGAGAUGUUGGGUUAAGUCCCGCAACGAGCGCAACCCCUAUCUUUAGUUACCAUCGAGUAAUGUCGGGGACUCUAAAGAGACUGCCAGUGUAAUAAACUGGAGGAAGGUGGGGAUGACGUCAAAUCAUCAUGGUCCUUAUGUCCAGGGCUACACACGUGCUACAAUGGCCGGUACAGAGGGUUGCAAUACCGCGAGGUGGAGCUAAUCUCAGAAAGCCGGUCUCAGUUCGGAUUGGAGUCUGCAACUCGACUCCAUGAAGCUGGAAUCGCUAGUAAUCGCGUAUCAGCAUAACGCGGUGAAUACGUUCCCGGGCCUUGUACACACCGCCCGUCAAGUCAGCCGAGUUGAUUGCACCCGAAGGAGGUGAGCUAACC